UACGAAGGGGACUAGCGUUGUUCGGAAUCACUGGGCGUAAAGCGCACGUAGGCGGAUGUGUCAGUCAGGGGUGAAAUCCCGGGGCUCAACCUCGGAACUGCCUUUGAUACAGCACGUCUCGAGUCCGGAAGAGGUGGGUGGAAUUCCUAGUGUAGAGGUGAAAUUCGUAGAUAUUAGGAAGAACACCGGUGGCGAAGGCGGCUCACUGGCCCGGUACUGACGCUGAGGUGCGAAAGCGUGGGGAGCAAACAGG
RNAcentral lists this ribosomal RNA (253 nucleotides) under uncultured bacterium. RNAcentral describes it as "partial 16S ribosomal RNA". It matches the Rfam family "Bacterial small subunit ribosomal RNA", at positions 524 to 776 of the family's 1533-position model. The record is from RNAcentral.